AUUUAUUCCCCAAUUUAGCCACUUAUACAUUUUCCAAUGUCUGGCUAUCUAUGUGGAGUGGGCAGGAUGACUACACUCAGAUAAAAUCUGCAACAAACAACAUAACAAUUUAUGGAUCGGUAGGAUUAGUUCAAGUCAUUUUAUUACUUCUGGGAUGCCUAUUUAUGUACAAUUUCUCGCUAAAUGCAUCACGAAACUUGCAUGAAAUCCUCCUCCUAAAAAUAUUAAACGGACGGAUACAUUUCCUAAAUAAAAUUGGUGCAGGAUCACUCUUAAACGUGGUGACCAAAGAUGUCGAUAUUUUGGAGUCAAGUUUUCCCCAAAAUUUGCAAGGAACCGUGCUUAACUUUCUUCUCCUUUUAAGCGCAAUCUUCACGACUUGUUACGCAACCCCGAUAUUUCUCGUGUUUGUGGCACCACUUGCCCUUAUUAUUAUUUCCUUCAGAGAUUUUAUGUCAUCACAUCCACAAACUUGAGGAGAAACGAAUCAUUGACUAGAACCCCACUUUAUAGCCUAGUUCUGGGAACGCUAUCGGGAUUGUGUUCCAUUAAAGCGUUUGGAAUUGAAAAUGAAACAAUGAGAGAGAUUCAGGAAGCUUUAUUAGAAAAUAAUAAGGCUUACUUUUUAUAUAUGGCUGGGACAUUGUGGAUUAAAGCAAGGCUAGACAUUCUGGGGACCUUAAUAGUUUUGGGAACUUGUAUUUUUGCCAUCAUUUCAAGUCCGGCUGUCGUCGCAUUAUCUUUAUCUUCUGCUCUGCAGAUAACUCAGUUGUUAAAUUAUUUUGUAAAAUUAACCAGCGAAUUCGAAUCGAAUAUUGUAGCUGUGGAGAGGGUUGUAAAUAUGACGUUAAUUCCGCCAAACCAAAAUUCCUUGUUUUGGAUGAAGUAACGGCAAAUUGCGAUGAAAAUAUGGAAGUUCUGAUCCAAAAAAUUGUCAGUGAACAGUUUAAGGAUUCAACCGUCUUAAUUGUGGCACACCGUAUUAAAACCUUACUCGACUGUGACAGGUUUGUGGCACAUUUUCAUAUAACGAUGUGAAGUAAUGAUCUAUAUUUUCUUUAAAGGAUUAUGGUCCUAGAUGUUGGUCGAAUUAAAGAGUUUGACACGAUAAGUAACUUGCUAAAUUUAAAAUCCGAUUUUUAUGAAAUGGUAAAAUCUGACGAAUUAUUUACAAGAGAUUUAUAGUAAAGAAGGAGGAAAACAAUAAAUUAGGAGUGAAAUUUA
Long non-coding RNA from Folsomia candida, 1224 nucleotides. RefSeq lists it as uncharacterized. The transcript has 4 exons. Lineage: Eukaryota; Metazoa; Arthropoda; Collembola; Entomobryomorpha; Isotomidae. The record is from RefSeq and is a predicted model, not a curated record.